GCCGGUGUAGCUCAGUGGUAGAGCGUUUCCUUGGUAAGGAAGAGGUCACGAGUUCAAUUCUCGUCAUCGGCU
Molecule: transfer RNA, 72 nt
Filed under: Chitinophagales bacterium
Lineage: Bacteria; Pseudomonadati; Bacteroidota; Chitinophagia; Chitinophagales
Description: tRNA-Thr
Rfam family: tRNA
About the family: Transfer RNA (tRNA) molecules are approximately 80 nucleotides in length. Their secondary structure includes four short double-helical elements and three loops (D, anti-codon, and T loops).
Source: RNAcentral